GGGGCCGUACUGGUUUUGACGGGGAAACCGUCAACGCACGGAUGCAGUGGUCUGGUAAACCUUAAUACCAAAAAACAAUAACUGACAAAACUGUCAAACCCUGGAUGCUCAACAACCGUUGCGCGUCCGUUGCUCUUGCUUAAUUAAGCACCCGACAUAGGGUUCCGCGUAUCGCGGACGAGCACGUCUACCCAUGCGUUCACGCCUUGGCAUGGGAUAGGCGCAAGAUAAGGCGAUAAGCUGGCUUCUUGGCAGGGGAAGUUGGACGAAAAUUUACUGCCACCCCUUAUUCGCCCUUGGCAGGUUCGGCGGAUUUGGGUUAACGAAUCUGCCUAAACUGUAGAUGCUGUGUGGGGACUUUCUUCGGACCGGGGUUCGAUUCCCCGCGACUCCACCA
RNAcentral lists this transfer-messenger RNA (397 nucleotides) under Mollicutes bacterium. It matches the Rfam family "transfer-messenger RNA". From Rfam's summary of the family: Bacterial tmRNA, also known as 10Sa RNA or SsrA, is named for its dual tRNA and mRNA-like properties. Its role is to liberate the mRNA from a stalled ribosome. To accomplish this part of the tmRNA is used as a reading frame that ends in a translation stop signal. Lineage: Bacteria; Bacillati; Mycoplasmatota; Mollicutes. RNAcentral also lists the same sequence under 4 other names. The record is from RNAcentral.